Molecule: unclassified non-coding RNA, 420 nt
Filed under: Hevea brasiliensis (rubber tree)
Lineage: Eukaryota; Viridiplantae; Streptophyta; Magnoliopsida; Malpighiales; Euphorbiaceae
Source: RNAcentral
UGGUGGGCUACUUUCUCAAGAAAACCCAGAUAAAUAGCCAAAGUUCUUUGUCUGAACUUUGGUCUUUUGGAUUUUUUAAUUUAUUUUUCCCCCUUUUUCUUAAAUAUGGGUUGUAGUAGUGGUGGAGAAGAGAUUUGAGAGUGGCUAGUAUCUUUUCAAGCAAACCAACACAUCUCCUGGUAAUGGGAUAGAUCAUAAUAGAUGGAUGGCCAAAACCCUUGAUAACAGGAUUUGGGGGACCUCUAUUUGAAUGUCUUCUGAACAAAUGUGUUCAUGAUGUUAUUAAUGAUUGUUUGGAUCAAGGAAAUUUCACCCUUUUGUAUAUUUUCUUUUCUCAGUAGUAAAAGAAUGGUGAUGGAUGACUGGUUAUUUACGUUUAUUUCUACGUGUCUGUUAUGAGAGCCAACCAUCUUCUGCUUG